CUGGCAUUCGCCUCCCCGG
Molecule: small nuclear RNA, 19 nt
Filed under: Arabidopsis thaliana (thale cress)
Lineage: Eukaryota; Viridiplantae; Streptophyta; Magnoliopsida; Brassicales; Brassicaceae
Description: snRNA_15479
Source: RNAcentral